AUUAAAAACUGGGAGAAAAAAAGAUUGUUGGAAGUCCGGCCUCGCGUUGCUCUCGCGGCUUCCCCUCGCGCUGCUCUCGCGGCUGCUCCGCAGAAACUGUGUAAACCAGCGAAUAACAACAACAACAAUCCGGCUCGGGCAGCGCUGCACAAAAUGCCGACCGGAAGAAUUGCAGGGGGACAAACUCCCCCUCACUCUGGAUGAACCAAUCGGCUAUGACUCUGAAGAAUCCGCUUCCGUUCACUAGCUCGUCUUUUUCCGUGUACAGUGGGGAAGUGCACCCAGCAAAAGAGGCAGGUCGUUGUCUGGGUACUUAUUGUUCAAAAUCCAAUAGUUCUGAUACUUCUAGUGUUGCUGAUCAUGUAGCUUCCAACUUCGUGCGUUUUGUGGCAAAAUGCUGACAAAAUCUAAAUGUGUAUCCACAGGUUAUGUAUUUUGGGACAUUGCUUUUGACUAUUAAGAACUCCCUUUUAUGAAGAUGUUGCCUUUGUUUUUUUUUUGUCUGCCAUUGUAACAUGUCGGGUAAAAGCUGGUAUAACGUUGUGUGGUAAAUGCAGUACGCCUAUCUGAAAAGGACAGGAUAGAAUUGCUGAUCUAUGCAAUGAUUAUCCUGCCUAUGCCCAAGCUGUAUUGUAUCUAUGACGGGCUUUUAAAAUGAAGCCAUUUCAAACUGAAAUAUUGUUGCCUUCCUAUUAAUACCUAUGAAGCUGGCAUGUAAGCAACAAGCACCCUAUGGCAUGGAUAAAGCUUUGUAAGUUCAAUUUUUAAACAUGAUUUUCAUUUGUUCUGGCAUUCCAUUACAUGUAUACCCCCAUAGUCUGUGCAUUGAUCUGAUUUUUUCUGUUUUCAACUUGUUUGCAGAAUGUGAACAUGUUUGCUGUUGUCUAAUCCAUAGCAGCUGUCUGUUUUAUUGUUCCAUUGGUCAGAAGAAUAUCAAUAAAUAUCCAGAGGAAUUUAGUACA
Paramormyrops kingsleyae is the source of this 962-nucleotide non-coding RNA. The record is from RefSeq and is a predicted model, not a curated record. NCBI's taxonomy places the organism in Eukaryota, Metazoa, Chordata, Actinopteri, Osteoglossiformes, Mormyridae.